CAGUCGCCGCGGUAAUACGGAGGGGGCUAGCGUUGUUCGGAAUUACUGGGCGUAAAGCGCACGUAGGCGGCUUGGUAAGUUAGAGGUGAAAGCCCGGAGCUCAACUCCGGAAUUGCCUUUAAGACUGCCGAGCUAGUAGGUGAGAGAGGUAAGUGGAAUUCCGAGUGUAGAGGUGAAAUUCGUAGAUAUUCGGAAGGACACCAGUGGCGAAGGCGGCUUACUGGCUCAUUCUAGACGCUGAGGUGCGAAAGCGUGGGGAGCAAACAGGAUUAGAUACCCCGGUAGUCCCUGUCUCUUAUAC
This 301-nucleotide ribosomal RNA is filed under the name uncultured bacterium. RNAcentral describes it as "partial 16S ribosomal RNA". It matches the Rfam family "Bacterial small subunit ribosomal RNA", at positions 509 to 807 of the family's 1533-position model. The record is from RNAcentral.